GGGUCGAUCGGCUCGGUCCGGGCCCGGUCCUCUUCGGACCCCAGCACGACGAACCCGUUGUCCCGGAUCAUGUCCAGGUCGGCCUGC
RNAcentral lists this transfer RNA (87 nucleotides) under Amycolatopsis deserti. Its description in RNAcentral is "tRNA-Lys". Lineage: Bacteria; Bacillati; Actinomycetota; Actinomycetes; Pseudonocardiales; Pseudonocardiaceae. The record is from RNAcentral.